UACGAAGGUCCCAAGCGUUAUCCGGAUUUAUUGGGGUUAAAGGGUGCGUAGGCGGUUUAUUAAGUCAGUGGUGAAAGCCCCAAGCUCAACUUGGGAACUGCCAUUGAUACUGAUGAUCUUGAGUACAUUUGAGGUGGGCGGAAUGUGUCAUGUAGCGGUGAAAUGCUUAGAUAUGACACAGAACACCGAUUGCGAAGGCAGCUCACUAAACUGUAACUGACGCUGAGGAGCGAAAGCGUGGGGAGCAAACAGG
RNAcentral lists this ribosomal RNA (253 nucleotides) under uncultured bacterium. RNAcentral's name for it is "partial 16S ribosomal RNA". It matches the Rfam family "Bacterial small subunit ribosomal RNA", at positions 524 to 776 of the family's 1533-position model. The record is from RNAcentral.